Molecule: regulatory RNA element, 165 nt
Organism: Roseburia sp. CAG:45
Lineage: Bacteria; Bacillati; Bacillota; Clostridia; Lachnospirales; Lachnospiraceae
Source: Rfam
UGAUAAGGAUUGUUAGGCGCACUUAGAAUUUCAUACAGCAAUAGCCAACGCUGGCACAGGGACGUGCCGGCGAGGCGCAUAUGAACAUGGAUGUGAAUUUGCGCCGGUUGGCAGAUAAAAUAAUAUUAAUACUGAAAUUCUUAGUGCGCCUUACUAUCUUUAUGC